UGAUGAUGUUGAUGUGCCUAAAACUGUAAACUGUCUUUUUUUUUUGGUUAUUUUUGAAUUUUUUUGGUGGGAUUUUAUUGAUAAAUAUGAGAUUUUGAUUUUUCUGUUAAUGAGUGUUGUCGGAUUUUAAUUUUGAGCUAGUAGCACUAAGAUCAUUGGUUGAUAUGCAACUUUUCUUUUUGGGUAUCUUAGAGGAUGUGGGUGCUAGAAUCUGGAG
Molecule: unclassified non-coding RNA, 217 nt
Filed under: Hevea brasiliensis (rubber tree)
Lineage: Eukaryota; Viridiplantae; Streptophyta; Magnoliopsida; Malpighiales; Euphorbiaceae
Source: RNAcentral